Molecule: ribosomal RNA, 429 nt
Filed under: Gemmatimonadota bacterium
Lineage: Bacteria; Pseudomonadati; Gemmatimonadota
Description: Gemmatimonadetes bacterium partial 16S ribosomal RNA
Rfam family: Bacterial small subunit ribosomal RNA
Source: RNAcentral
UAGGGAAUCUUCGGCAAUGGACGAAAGUCUGACCGAGCAACGCCGCGUGAGUGAAGAAGGUUUUCGGAUUGUAAAACUCUGUUGUUAGAGAAGAACAAGGACGUUAGUAACUGAACGUCCCCUGACGGUAUCUAACCAGUAAGCCACGGCUAACUACGUGCCAGCAGCCGCGGUAAUACGUAGAUGGCAAGCGUUGUCCGGAUUUAUUGGGCGUAAAGCGAGCGCAGGCGGUUUCUUAAGUCUGAUGUGAAAGCCCCCGGCUAAACCGGGGAGGGUCAUUGGAAACUGGGAGACUUGAGUGCAGAAGAGGAGAGUGGAAUUCCAUGUGUAGCGGUGAAAUGCGUAGAUAUAUGGAGGAACACCAGUGGCGAAGGAGGCUCUCUGAUCUGUAACUGACGCUGAGGCUCGAAAGCGUGGGGAGCAAACAGG